This 160-nucleotide ribosomal RNA is filed under the name uncultured bacterium. RNAcentral describes it as "partial 16S ribosomal RNA". It matches the Rfam family "Bacterial small subunit ribosomal RNA", at positions 355 to 507 of the family's 1533-position model. The record is from RNAcentral.
CUAAGAAUAUUCCGCAAUGGACGAAAGUCUGACGGAGCGACGCCGCGUGGAUGAUGAAGGCCGAAAGGUUGUAAAGUCCUUUUGUCGACGAAGAAUAAGUGGGGGAGGGAAUGCCCUCAUGAUGACGUUAGUCGGCGAAUAAGCCCCGGCUAAUUACGUG